This 206-nucleotide long non-coding RNA is filed under the name Elaeis guineensis (African oil palm). RNAcentral's name for it is "long non-coding RNA (EGUI_LNC012089)". The record is from RNAcentral. Lineage: Eukaryota; Viridiplantae; Streptophyta; Magnoliopsida; Arecales; Arecaceae.
GUUCACAUAUACAAUCAUCAUCCAAAUUCCAAGUCACAUAUAUCCAAAUUACUUCAAAAUAUAAAUAAUAUUUCAAUAAUAAUUCAACAAAUACUACUUACGUAUCUUCUGCUCCAAAAUUUCACAUCCAUUGAUAAGCUCAAUCAACCAAAUUACUUUUAUUGAUACUGCUGUGGAUAGACUAUGGGGAACCUUCCUUAAUAAUC